UUUCCGUAGGUGAACCUGCGGAAGGAUCAUUAACGAGUUAGGGUCUUUUAGGCCCGUCCUCCCAACCUUUUGCUUUUUCAACCUCUGUUGCCUUCGCGGACCCUUCCCACGGCCGCCGGCAGACCCCUGCGAGGAGCCCUACGGCACGUCUCCGUCGACGACCCACCCACUAAACACUGAAUGAAACGGAUCAUUUGUCUAAGUCAACGAUUAAAUUAACGCAAAACUUUCAACAACGGCGCUCUUGGUUCUGUCAUCGAGGACGAACGCAGAAGCCCG
RNAcentral lists this unclassified non-coding RNA (279 nucleotides) under plant metagenome. RNAcentral describes it as "partial contains small subunit ribosomal RNA, internal transcribed spacer 1, and 5.8S ribosomal RNA". The record is from RNAcentral.